ACACGAGUGCUUACGAGUAAGAUUUGCUUCUGUAAAAAAAAUCAAAAUUUAUUAGAUGUCAUUUUACAUCGAGAUUGUUUGAUAUUGGAAAGUGAAGCUAGCAAUUAUAAUUUGCUGCACGUCUACACUUUACCUGGGUAAACAAUUGAUGAGGAUUCUACUAACUUGCUUUCAGAUGCACUGUCUUCAAGCUGUGUUUUCUUUCAUAUGGAAGCUUGAUAACGGAGGCAUCCGGACAUGAGGUGGUCCACAUCUUUCUAGGAAAUGGUACUAAACCAUCCUCUAAAAUGAAUGGAUCCACACAUUACCAUCAUUAAAGUGAUAUUAUAUGCACGCACUGCACUAUUGCAAUCUAAAGGGGAUAUGCAUGUAACUCCAAUGUAUUACAUAAAAUGUCAGGAAGUGACAUAAGACUACAUUUUGAUGUAUCCCCAAAUGGUAAAACUAGGUUUUUACUGGGAUGAUACAUAUUCACAAUGCAAAGUUUACAGAUGUUUAUCUUGAAUGCCAUCUAACAGUCUGUUACACUAGUCCGGGCUACAAUAAAGUUUUUUGCCAUGUGUGCCAAAUGUUGGAGAAAGGAAGUAUGAUCGUUUCAGAUAAACGUGGCACAAAACUGAGGAUACAAUCUGGGAAAAUGCGCUACUGACCGACAGUAUGAGAUCUUCUGCAAUGCUUGCAGUAAGUAAAUAAAACUGAAAAUAUAUGUUGCAAAGCUAGUCAAAAUUAAGUAAAUAUGGGCUGGGGUUGUUUUUUUUUAACAUUACACGUGUCUAAUGCUCUAUUUUGAUAGUCAUUUUUUAAUUUCCCCUACUUUAGCAAUGUCUUUGGUAACACAUUUUAAGGAAGAAAAAAACCAGGAAAAAAUGUAAAUACCUUCUUAUGCAUACAUUCUCUCAUACAAUGAAAACUUAAGUCUUGUAUCCGACAAAGUGUCAAUGACCAACAUCUUUGUUCAGUUUUAUUGAAACUUAUUGUGGAACUGCAUAAUCAUCUUGUGGUAAUCCUGCAAUUACUGGCUUAACAUGAACAUACUUUCACAGAUGUUAAAAAACUUGUCAACGUCAUGCUUUGCUGAAGGAAAGGAGGUGCCCCAGUCAAAAUAGACACUUGUGAAACAAUCACACAUCAAAUACACCAGUGGCCUUAUACCAAUGUAUAUACCUUGUUACUACAUUUGGCAUAACCUACACAAGCACGCAGUUCACAACUUUUUUCACAACAUCCUAAAAUCAAAUAAAUAAUUUCAUUAAUUCGGCAAACAAAAACCACAGAUUAACAACGUGACAAUGCUGACUUAAAAAAGGGGUAUGCAUAGCAUGCACGUAGCAUCACUGUUAUCUAGAUAUUCAAGCAGGGAGGAAGAAAGAACAGCAGAAGGGCACCUCCUUGCCACAGCAAUCCAACCCCACAGCCAUGCAACUUGUGCUUCAGUUCUAGCUCACAACUACCCUGCACAGAUGAUACAAACAGGAUGUGACACUCUUGUACUUCCUUUGGGAAAGUCAAUCACCUACCAGAGACAGAGUACAUAAUAUAGAGAGCUUUAAGUGGCUCAGACUCAUUUAAUGACUGCAGUUGUUGGCAUCAAAAUCUUUAGCUAUGGCCCUUAAGAUACCAAAAAAAUUCAGUAUCAGGCAUCAUAAUUUACUUAUAGUCAGAAAUCCCAACCAACUACAAUUGUUUGAAAUGUGGCAAGAUGCAAAUGCCUCAUUUUAAUUUUCAAGAAUCGUAAUAAAAGAAAAAAAAUAUAUGUGUAACAUCUGAGAAAAGAAACAAGCAGCUCAGCACUAUCCCACACACGAGACUAAGCGAACAAGUCCAAGUAAAUACUACUACAGUUGAUAACACUUAUAUAACAUUAUUGCUUAAAUCACGUCCCAUUUUUCUCUACCCUUAUAAGGCUGGUCAGAAUUUCUGAUUAACAAGCUAUGCACUGCCAUCAACUCUCCAUCUUAUGUACUCUUGUAUAUCAAAGCUGUCGCUGUUAAGAAGUCAUCACCAACAGGACUACAUAAAGGUUUUUUUUUUUUACUCUGAACCUAUCAUAUAUUUAUACAUGUAUACAUAAUGUAAUUUACAAAAAGAAAAAAAAAAGUUAAAAAAAGUGUCAGGAGCAGAUCAAGACUUCACUGUAGUGAUCUGCUGCUGAUGUAGAUAAAACCCACCCCUGCCACUCCACUGCCAACCUGGCUACCUGUUGGCACAGAACAGUCAUAACAUGCACCCACGAUUCUUGGACGUGCACAUUAUCACAAGUGAAUGAGGGUAUCUGCCCCUGGCCAGCAAGAUGCAUGGUGAAAUGUAUGGUGUUUGUGAUGGUGUUGUGGAUCUGUACAGUUUGAUGGUACACGCUGCAUGAGCUUUGAUGACUGGAAAACAAAAUGUCACACAGAAUACCUCAUAAAAGUUAUUCUUCAUAUUCACAGUAAUGGAAACGGAAAAACUUCAUGUUUAUUAAAUGAGCUCUGCACUGCUCACCAUGAUAAAAUGUUUUUUCAUAAUAAAUAUUGUUUAUAAUCAUGGGGAUGGGUGGGGGAGAAAAGAGGGGAUAAGUAUGAAAAAGUAUUUCACUUAUUUCAUCUACUAUUAAAAAGACCCCCAGUAGAACAACAAAGAAAAAAAAUGUUAACAAUGUCAAAAUAAUAUAGGUGGGGGCGGGGGGGGGGAGGGAGUGAAGAA
Long non-coding RNA from Pomacea canaliculata, 2682 nucleotides. RefSeq lists it as uncharacterized. The transcript has 3 exons. NCBI's taxonomy places the organism in Eukaryota, Metazoa, Mollusca, Gastropoda, Architaenioglossa, Ampullariidae. The record is from RefSeq and is a predicted model, not a curated record.